GGGCCGUUAGCUCAGCUGGUAGAGCAGUGGGCUUUUAACCCAACGGUCAUAGGUUCGAUUCCUAUACGGCCCA
This 73-nucleotide transfer RNA is filed under the name Sandaracinaceae bacterium. Its description in RNAcentral is "tRNA-Lys". It matches the Rfam family "tRNA". From Rfam's summary of the family: Transfer RNA (tRNA) molecules are approximately 80 nucleotides in length. Their secondary structure includes four short double-helical elements and three loops (D, anti-codon, and T loops). Lineage: Bacteria; Pseudomonadati; Myxococcota; Polyangiales; Sandaracinaceae. The record is from RNAcentral.